This 75-nucleotide transfer RNA is filed under the name Acidimicrobiales bacterium. RNAcentral's name for it is "tRNA-Pro". It matches the Rfam family "tRNA". Rfam says of the family: Transfer RNA (tRNA) molecules are approximately 80 nucleotides in length. Their secondary structure includes four short double-helical elements and three loops (D, anti-codon, and T loops). Lineage: Bacteria; Bacillati; Actinomycetota; Acidimicrobiia; Acidimicrobiales. The record is from RNAcentral. RNAcentral also lists the same sequence under 2 other names.
CGGGGAGUAGCGCAGCUUGGUUAGCGCGCCUGCUUUGGGAGCAGGAGGCCGCGGGUUCGAAUCCCGCCUCCCCGA